UAAAAAUAACAUUUUAUCUUUGUCAUCCUCAGGUACCAAGGACCUAUUUUGAUAGAGGGCAAAAGUUCAUGCGCAAGGGGACCGUGGGCGACUGGAAGACGAUGUUCACGGUGGCGAUGAACGAGGAGUUCGACGCUUUCGUCCGCGAGAAGAUGAAGGGAUACGAACUCGACGACGGAUGGACCAGCGACACAAAGUGACUGUCGCGACACAAAGUGGCACCGGCACAUGGCAGAACAGCAACUAGGAUACGGCACGGCACGUGCGAUAGCCUGAUUUUGUUGAGAGAGAGAGAGAAAAGCACACAAUCCUGCCUAAUGCUGCAUAGAGAGUUUUAACGUUUAAUGUCACCUGAUUAUGAGAGUAACUAUGCAAUGUGUUGACUCAUUAUACACCUUCGGUUUCCAUAGCAUUUCAUAUAUUAUUGGUGGGAGUUACCAUCACUCGAGCACAUAAGCAGGAAACCACGCCACAGGUAUUGAAUGGCAAUGUAUAUUUCACUGUGUUCUGAAUGCUUGUACAGCUCUUUGUUUCAAAGAAAAAAUAAAGCAAUGCCGCAGGAGCUGCUUCCAAA
Long non-coding RNA from Petromyzon marinus (sea lamprey), 574 nucleotides. RefSeq lists it as uncharacterized. The record is from RefSeq and is a predicted model, not a curated record. NCBI's taxonomy places the organism in Eukaryota, Metazoa, Chordata, Hyperoartia, Petromyzontiformes, Petromyzontidae.